CCAUGCCAAUGUGGUUUGGCUGGACUGUGAGUGCUUGAUGCAGUCUGAUGGGAGGAUGGGGGUGGCGCAGAGAACAUUGAAAUCAGAAGGGAUUCUGCUCUGUAGAGACAAAGGAGCCGCAGAGACAUAGACAUGGAUCUGGGAAAUACACCUUUUGCUACUCGUUCAGUUUUAGCAAGGAGGUUUCUGGCAUGGCUAAGCAAAACUUAAAUUUCCUCUGAGAAUUACAGGAAUUACAGGACCUGACAAAGCUAUAAAACCUAUAGGAAGAAAAUCUCAACCAGAAACAGUAUGGCAGAAUUGGGAUCUGACUCACAGAGGGAAGAACUUAUAAUUCUUCACAGGGCACAUAGAAGCAUGAGAAUUUGGGUUCAAGCAAGUAAAUUCUAAAUUAGAAUCCAUACAUAAAGUGUUUGCAAUGUCCAGUUAUAUCUCC
RNAcentral lists this long non-coding RNA (436 nucleotides) under Pan troglodytes (chimpanzee). RNAcentral describes it as "long non-coding RNA NONPTRT001753". The record is from RNAcentral. Lineage: Eukaryota; Metazoa; Chordata; Mammalia; Primates; Hominidae.